RNAcentral lists this transfer RNA (73 nucleotides) under Camelus bactrianus (Bactrian camel). It matches the Rfam family "tRNA". Rfam says of the family: Transfer RNA (tRNA) molecules are approximately 80 nucleotides in length. Their secondary structure includes four short double-helical elements and three loops (D, anti-codon, and T loops). Further hydrogen bonds mediate the characteristic L-shaped molecular structure. tRNAs have two regions of fundamental functional importance: the anti-codon, which is responsible for specific mRNA codon recognition, and the 3' end, to which the tRNAs corresponding amino acid is attached (by aminoacyl-tRNA synthetases). tRNAs cope with the degeneracy of the genetic code in two manners: having more than one tRNA (with a specific anti-codon) for a particular amino acid; and 'wobble' base-pairing, i.e. permitting non-standard base-pairing at the 3rd anti-codon position. Lineage: Eukaryota; Metazoa; Chordata; Mammalia; Artiodactyla; Camelidae. The record is from Rfam by way of RNAcentral. RNAcentral also lists the same sequence under 2 other names.
GAGGGUAUAGCUCAGUGGUAGAGUGUAGUGUUUAGUAUGCAUGAGGUCCUGGGUUCAAUCCCCAGGGCCUCCA